UACGAAGGGGGCUAGCGUUGCUCGGAAUCACUGGGCGUAAAGGGCGCGUAGGCGGCUGUACAAGUCAAAGGUGAAAUCCCUCGGCUCAACUGAGGAACUGCCUUUGAAACUGUACGGCUUGAGGCCGGGAGGGGGUAGCGGAAUUCCCAGUGUAGCGGUGAAAUGCGUAGAGAUCCGGAGGAACACCAAUGGCGAAGGCAGUGCCCUGGCCGACGGCUGACGCUCAGGCGCGAAAGCGUGGGGAGCAAACAGG
Molecule: ribosomal RNA, 253 nt
Filed under: uncultured bacterium
Lineage: Bacteria
Description: partial 16S ribosomal RNA
Rfam family: Bacterial small subunit ribosomal RNA
Source: RNAcentral